CAUGCAAGUCGAACGGAGCUGUUUUCUCUGAAGUUUUCGGAUGGAAGAGAGUUCAGCUUAGUGGCGAACGGGUGAGUAACACGUGAGCAACCUGCCUUUCAGUGGGGGACAACAUUUGGAAACGAAUGCUAAUACCGCAUAAGACCACAGUGUCGCAUGGCACAGGGGUCAAAGGAUUUAUCCGCUGAAAGAUGGGCUCGCGUCCGAUUAGCUAGAUGGUGAGGUAACGGCCCACCAUGGCGACGAUCGGUAGCCGGACUGAGAGGUUGAACGGCCACAUUGGGACUGAGACACGGCCCAGACUCCUACGGGAGGCAGCAGUGGGGAAUAUUGCACAAUGGGGGAAACCCUGAUGCAGCGACGCCGCGUGGAGGAAGAAGGUCUUCGGAUUGUAAACUCCUGUCCCAGGGGACGAUAAUGACGGUACCCUGGGAGGAAGCACCGGCUAACUACGUGCCAGCAGCCGCGGUAAAACGUAGGGUGCAAGCGUUGUCCGGAAUUACUGGGUGUAAAGGGAGCGCAGGCGGAUUGGCAAGUUGGGAGUGAAAUCUAUGGGCUCAACCCAUAAAUUGCUUUCAAAACUGUCAGUCUUGAGUGGUGUAGAGGUAGGCGGAAUUCCCGGUGUAGCGGUGGAAUGCGUAGAUAUCGGGAGGAACACCAGUGGCGAAGGCGGCCUACUGGGCACUAACUGACGCUGAGGCUCGAAAGCAUGGGUAGCAAACAGGAUUAGAUACCCUGGUAGUCCAUGCCGUAAACGAUGAUUACUAGGUGUGGGAGGAUUGACCCCUUCCGUGCCGCAGUUA
RNAcentral lists this ribosomal RNA (803 nucleotides) under uncultured bacterium. Its description in RNAcentral is "bacterial SSU rRNA". It matches the Rfam family "Bacterial small subunit ribosomal RNA", at positions 54 to 854 of the family's 1533-position model. The record is from RNAcentral.